Molecule: unclassified non-coding RNA, 374 nt
Filed under: soil metagenome
Description: partial internal transcribed spacer 1
Rfam family: 5.8S ribosomal RNA (bases 1-120)
Source: RNAcentral
GAUGAAGAACGCAGCGAAAUGCGAUAAUUAAUGUGAAUUGCAGAAUUCCGUGAAUCAUCGAGUCUUUGAACGCACAUUGCGCCUCAUGGCAUUCCGUGAGGCAUGCCCAUCUCAGCGUUAGAAAAUAUUCUCAAAUUUUAGUUUUGUGCUAAAAUUUGGAUCAUGUCAAGGAAGCUAUUACUAUUAUUGUGAUCGCUCUUUGGAAAUUGAUAGGUCUUUGAGUUGCUACUCAUAGAACGUGAUGAAUCUUUCUUCGUUCUAUUGUAAUUCACUCUGGUAGGCCUAAAACUUGUAUGCCUGUGGCAUAUCUUGUAAUUUGACCAGAGAUUGGGUAGGGAUACCCGCUGAACUUAAGCAUAUCAAUAAGCGGAGGA